Molecule: ribosomal RNA, 468 nt
Filed under: uncultured bacterium
Lineage: Bacteria
Description: bacterial SSU rRNA
Rfam family: Bacterial small subunit ribosomal RNA
Source: RNAcentral
ACUCCUACGGGAGGCAGCAGUGGGGAAUUUUGGACAAUGGGGGAAACCCUGAUCCAGCCAUCCCGCGUGUGCGAUGAAGGCCUUCGGUUGUAAAGCACUUUGGCAGGAAAGAAACGUCGCGGGUUAAUACCCGCGAAACUGACGGUACCUGCAGAAUAAGCACCGGCUAACUACGUGCCAGCAGCCGCGGUAAUACGUAGGGUGCAAGCGUUAAUCGGAAUUACUGGGCGUAAAGCGUGCGCAGGCGGUUCGGAAAGAAAGAUGUGAAAUCCCAGAGCUUAACUUGGAACUGCAUUUUAACUACCGGGCUAGAGUGUGUCAGAGGGGAGGUGGAAUUCCGCGUGUAGCAGUGAAAUGCGUAGAUAUGCGGAGGAACACCGAUGGCGAAGGCAGCCUCCUGGGAUAACACUGACGCUCAUGCACGAAAGCGUGGGAGCAAACAGGAUUAGAUACCCUGGUAGCGACUGA